UACAGAGGGUGCAAGCGUUGUUCGGAAUUAUUGGGCGUAAAGCGCGUGUAGGCGGCUUUGCAAGUCGGGUGUGAAAGCCCUCAGCUCAACUGAGGAAGUGCGCCCGAAACUGCAGAGCUUGAGUACCGGAGAGGAUGGUGGAAUUCCCCAAGUAGAGGUGAAAUUCGUAGAUAUGGGGAGGAACACCGGUGGCGAAGGCGACCAUCUGGACGGAUACUGACGCUGAGACGCGAAAGCGUGGGGAGCAAACAGGG
This 254-nucleotide ribosomal RNA is filed under the name uncultured bacterium. RNAcentral's name for it is "partial 16S ribosomal RNA". It matches the Rfam family "Bacterial small subunit ribosomal RNA", at positions 524 to 777 of the family's 1533-position model. The record is from RNAcentral.